This 492-nucleotide ribosomal RNA is filed under the name uncultured bacterium. Its description in RNAcentral is "partial 16S ribosomal RNA". It matches the Rfam family "Bacterial small subunit ribosomal RNA", at positions 29 to 507 of the family's 1533-position model. The record is from RNAcentral.
AGUGAACGCUGGCGGUAGGCCUAACACAUGCAAGUCGAACGGCAGCACAGUAAGAGCUUGCUCUUACGGGUGGCGAGUGGCGGACGGGUGAGGAAUACAUCGGAAUCUACUUUUUCGUGGGGGAUAACGUAGGGAAACUUACGCUAAUACCGCAUACGACCUACGGGUGAAAGCAGGGGAUCUUCGGACCUUGCGCGAUUGAAUGAGCCGAUGUCGGAUUAGCUAGUUGGCGGGGUAAAGGCCCACCAAGGCGACGAUCCGUAGCUGGUCUGAGAGGAUGAUCAGCCACACUGGAACUGAGACACAGUCCAGACUCCUACAGGAGGCAGCAGUGGGGAAUAUUGGACAAUGGGCGCAAGCCUAAUCCAGCCAUACCGCGUGGGUGAAGAAGGCCUUCGGGUUGUAAAGCCCUUUUGUUGGGAAAGAAAAGCAGCAGGUUAAUACCCCGCUGUUCUGACGGUACCCAAAGAAUAAGCACCGGCUAACUUCGUG